Molecule: ribosomal RNA, 264 nt
Filed under: uncultured archaeon
Lineage: Archaea
Description: partial 16S ribosomal RNA
Rfam family: Archaeal small subunit ribosomal RNA
Source: RNAcentral
AAACUUCGCAAUGUGCGCAAGCACGACGAGGGAAUCCUAAGUGCCUAUGCUUUGCAUAGGCUGUUCUCCUGUCUAAAAAACAGGGGGAGUAAGGGCUGGGUAAGACCGGUGCCAGCCGCCGGUAACACCGGCGGCCCGAGUGGUAACCGUCUUUAUUGGGUUUAAAGGGUCCGUAGCCGGCUUAUUAAGUCUUUUGGGAAAUCUGGCGGCUCAAUCGUCAGGCGUCCAAGAGAUACUGGUAGGCUUGGGACCGGGAGAGGUGGG